UUUAUAUAGUUUAAAUAAAACACUAGAUUGUGAUUCUAGUAACAGAGAAUACUCUUGUAAACCA
Molecule: transfer RNA, 64 nt
Filed under: Leposoma scincoides
Lineage: Eukaryota; Metazoa; Chordata; Lepidosauria; Squamata; Gymnophthalmidae
Description: tRNA-His
Rfam family: tRNA
About the family: Transfer RNA (tRNA) molecules are approximately 80 nucleotides in length. Their secondary structure includes four short double-helical elements and three loops (D, anti-codon, and T loops).
Source: RNAcentral